Molecule: long non-coding RNA, 629 nt
Organism: Oreochromis aureus
Lineage: Eukaryota; Metazoa; Chordata; Actinopteri; Cichliformes; Cichlidae
Source: Ensembl
CAGCACUGCAUGUACAAGGAUGCCAGCUGCCGUUAAACCCCGAAGAAGAAGAAGUAGCUCUGUCCCAGAAUUCAUAGUACUCCACUGGAGUAUUGAUUUUAUGUACAAUUCCACGGGUAGACGCGAUCUGUACGGUCCGACUUUGCACGUGCGCAGCGGAGAGAGGUCGUGGAGUGUCAGCCUAUGGUAUCUGAGGUCCAGGAGAGAUGACCUGCGCUGUUUUCCUCUGAGGAGGUAUUGUUUAGAUAUCUGAACAUUUCAUCGGAUCACAAGCAAAGACCUCCUGGGGACCUUCAAUGCAUCCCUUGACAAAGUUGUGCCUGGCCUGCUGAAACUGUACUGGUCUAAGAAGGGAGCUCUUGGUGAGGAGAUGGAAGACCUCCUGGAUAAACUUGAUGAACAGACAUCCAACACUGUGUCCAACGGGCACUGAGAGGCCUGCCCAUUUUCCUCAAGACAAGAUGCAACAGAGGUUUUCCUGAAGUGCUUAGACACUGACAUUUUGGAACCAGUGUUGAACGGUGCAUCAGUUGCCAUCCUCACCAUCCUACAAGAUGACGAUGCUGAUACGUCUGUGCGAGAACAUCCAGUUGUGUUGGAAGGGGACAUCGUGCUACAUAACAUUCCAG